This 637-nucleotide ribosomal RNA is filed under the name Paenibacillus sp. 625(2010). RNAcentral's name for it is "bacterial SSU rRNA". It matches the Rfam family "Bacterial small subunit ribosomal RNA", at positions 33 to 650 of the family's 1533-position model. Lineage: Bacteria; Bacillati; Bacillota; Bacilli; Caryophanales; Paenibacillaceae. The record is from RNAcentral.
ACGCUGGCGGCGUGCCUAAUACAUGCAAGUCGAGCGGACUUGAUGGAGUGCUUGCACUCCUGAGAGUUAGCGGCGGACGGGUGAGUAACACGUAGGCAACCUGCCCUCAAGACUGGGAUAACUACCGGAAACGGUAGCUAAUACCGGAUAAUUUAUUUCACAGCAUUGUGGAAUAAUGAAAGACGGAGCAAUCUGUCACUUGGGGAUGGGCCUGCGGCGCAUUAGCUAGUUGGUGGGGUAAUGGCUCACCAAGGCGACGAUGCGUAGCCGACCUGAGAGGGUGAACGGCCACACUGGGACUGAGACACGGCCCAGACUCCUACGGGAGGCAGCAGUAGGGAAUCUUCCGCAAUGGGCGAAAGCCUGACGGAGCAACGCCGCGUGAGUGAUGAAGGUUUUCGGAUCGUAAAGCUCUGUUGCCAAGGAAGAACGUCUUCUAGAGUAACUGCUAGGAGAGUGACGGUACUUGAGAAGAAAGCCCCGGCUAACUACGUGCCAGCAGCCGCGGUAAUACGUAGGGGGCAAGCGUUGUCCGGAAUUAUUGGGCGUAAAGCGCGCGCAGGCGGUUCUUUAAGUCUGGUGUUUAAACCCGAGGCUCAACUUCGGGUCGCACUGGAAACUGGGGGACUUGAGUGCA